GUGCCAGCCGCCGCGGUAAUACGGAGGGUGCAAGCGUUAUCCGGAUUUAUUGGGUUUAAAGGGUGCGCAGGCGGAAUGAUAAGUCAGUGGUGAAAUCCUACAGCUCAACUGUAGAACUGCCAUUGAUACUGUCAUUCUUGAGUACAGUUGAAGUAGGCGGAAUGUAUCAUGUAGCGGUGAAAUGCAUAGAUAUGAUACAGAACUCCUAUGGCGAAGGCAGCUUACUAAACUGUAACUGACGCUCAGGCACGAAAGCGUGGGGAGCAAACAGGAUUAGAAACCCAGUAGUCC
Molecule: ribosomal RNA, 291 nt
Filed under: uncultured bacterium
Lineage: Bacteria
Description: partial 16S ribosomal RNA
Rfam family: Bacterial small subunit ribosomal RNA
Source: RNAcentral